GACGAACGCUGGCGGCGUGCUUAACACAUGCAAGUCGAACGGAAAGGCCCUGCUUUUGUGGGGUGCUCGAGUGGCGAACGGGUGAGUAACACGUGAGUAACCUGCCCUUGACUUUGGGAUAACUUCAGGAAACUGGGGCUAAUACCGGAUAGGAGCUCCUGCUGCAUGGUGGGGGUUGGAAAGUUUCGGCGGUUGGGGAUGGACUCGCGGCUUAUCAGCUUGUUGGUGGGGUAGUGGCUUACCAAGGCCUUGACGGGUAGCCGGCCUGCGAGGGGGACCGGCGACAUUGGGACUGAGAUACGGCCCAGACUCCUACGGGAGGCAGCAGUGGGGAAUAUUGCACAAUGGGCGGAAGCCUGAUGCAGCAACGCCGCGUGCGGGAUGACGGCCUUCGGGUUGUAAACCGCUGUCGCCUGUGACGAAGCGUGAGUGACGGUAAUGGGUAAAGAAGCACCGGCUAACUACGUG
This 468-nucleotide ribosomal RNA is filed under the name uncultured bacterium. Its description in RNAcentral is "partial 16S ribosomal RNA". It matches the Rfam family "Bacterial small subunit ribosomal RNA", at positions 28 to 507 of the family's 1533-position model. The record is from RNAcentral.